GGAACGUUUGUGCUUGUAGAUCCAAUCCAAAGUCACGAAUUAUCUUACUGGAAAAAUUGUUCUAACAAGAAUAAAAGCAUGAAAGGUUAAGAAGAAUUGAAGCUUGUACUCUGGUGCCAAUUCCAGCGACUUAGUACUUAGCAGACGCUUUCAUGAUUUCAGGGGAUAGCUUGCGGACUGUCUCUAGUUUUUCAUUGGAUUCUAUUUUGAGUAAUUUCCUUUCCAUUCACAAGAUGGUCGACCAACCCUUUUCGGAUGCAAACUUCAAGACCUGAAACUUGUACCUCCAGUUAAAGAAGAUUAGAUGUUUGUUGUUUUUUUAAUCUAGGUAAUCAACGACUCCCCCCCACAAUCACAGGCCGGUGUUUACGUUUGACCCAGCUUUUCAAAAGAGUUCAUUUAUGUUUGGGUGGCGCGGCUAUAUAUGCUAAUAUAGAGAGAGUCCCACACCGACUGGAGGAGAAGCAGAUUGUUGAUGGGGUGAUAAAUAAAAGGCCCAGAUGGGCGCCAGGGAGAAAACCAUGAUCCUUCAGGCAGUUUACGGGGAUGUGAUGAGCGGUCAAAGCUCGCAUUUAAACAUGCGAGAUGGGUGCCCGGCCCAAAGCCUGGUUACGACAACCCGGGCGCUCCCAUAUUUACCAAUCUGAUCCCUUCGUCCUUUCUUUCUUUUGCUUUUCUGCCGAGUCCCUUGUAACCGGAGAAGAGAAGGGGCAUAAUGGGAUUGUGGUUUGUGCGAGUCCUUUUUACUUUUAACCCCAGCCCUUCCAAAUCCAAAAAACCAUUUUUGUUUUUGUGUUUUCUUUUAAAUGAUUCUUCAAUUGGAUCCA
Coffea arabica (coffee) is the source of this 827-nucleotide non-coding RNA. Lineage: Eukaryota; Viridiplantae; Streptophyta; Magnoliopsida; Gentianales; Rubiaceae. The record is from RefSeq and is a predicted model, not a curated record.